GUGAUGAAGAUGGCGAGGGAGUGAUUAUCGCCGGUGAGAGACAAAGAGAGAGUAAUUGAGAGAGAGAGAGAGAUGUUGCUUUGGAGGGAAGGUUCUGAUAAAAAAGAUGGAGAUUUAGAGAGGGAAGAAAUGAGAAAGAGAAAAGGUUUUGGGGUUGAUGCAUGAAAAAAAUUAAGAGAGAGAGAGAGUGGUCUGAUAAAAAACAAAAAAUGUUGGCACCAAUGUGAGCCGUUGAUGUGAUCCAAAGUUAGAAAAUGGGUGGUUGUGAAGGUUGAAGCAUUAUUAUUAUUAUUUUUUAAAAAUUUUGUAGUGGCAUAUAAAUGGUGUGGUGAAUUAUAUAUAUUUUAAAAUUUUAAUUUUUUUUUAUAUUUUGUCUAGUCGGUAGAAUGUAAAUAAUUUUUUAAUGUUAUUAUGAAAAAUACGAAGUUAUUAAAAUGAAGGCAAUAAAGUUACAAAUGAAGGCCAAUUUUAUUAAAAUAAAAAAGACAUUAAAUGGUGGGGUGAAUUAUAUUUGUAUUUUUUUUUCAAUUUUUUAAUUUUCUAUAUUUAUCUAGUCGGGUAGAAUGUAAAUAUAUAAUUUUUAUUAAAAAAAGUUUUAAAAAGGUCAUAAAAGACAAAAAAAAUAAACAAUAAAAAAUACUCAUAAACCCAUAUCCAAACAUCACCUACAAAAUUGGAGGGAAAGUUGGUUGAGGUUUGCUAAAAUGGCAUGUGACUAUUGGAGCACUAUUGUUAUAAUUUGGCAAUUUGGUACUGUAGAUUGCCAAAUUAUAACAAUGGCAAUGCUAUCAUAGCAUUUGCCAUUGGAGAUGCUCUUACAAAUCAAAAACUUUCACAAAUGCAAAAUGAGAAUGAUGCUACUGAACUAAGAAUUAAAAAUGCUCAUCCCAAAAAUGUACCAUUUCCUCCUAGUGUAUCAAUGGGUAGUAGUUAUGCUUAUAAAUCAAAGAAGAGGAAAACAUGUGGGAGUGGGAGUGGGAGUGGGAGUGGGAGUGGGACUGCUAUGUUAGCUCUUAUUCAUUUGCUGCAAAUCAUAAUAUUUUUGGAUAUUUGCCUCCCGGUUAUAAUUUGUUAAGAACCACAUUAUUUCAAAAGGAGAGGGCAAAAAUUGAUAGUUUGUUGCAAUCAAUUAGGGGCACAGGAAAGGAAAAAAGGGGUGAUCAUUGUUAGUGAUGGUUGGAGUGAUUCUCAACGGAGGCCUUUGAUUACUUUUAUGGGAGUGAGUGAAAGAGGGCCUAUGUUCAUCAAGGCAGUUGAUUGUUUUGGAGAAACUAAGGCAAAUAUUUCAUUGCAAAUUUGAUGAAAUCAGUGAAUAAUGAGGUUGGGGCCAGUAAUGUGGUUCAAGUCAUCACGGAUAAUGCUCCUAAUUGUAAGGCAACUAGACAACUCAUUGAAGUUCAAUUCCCUUAUAUUCUAUGGAUUCCUUGUGUGGUGCACAUUAAAUCUAGCUUUGAAAAAUAUUUGUGCUGCAAAUAAUAUUGAGAGGAAUGAAGUCACAUAUGAAGAGUAUAGUUGGAUUAGUGAUAUUGCCAGAGAUGGUUUGAUGAUUAAGAAUUUUAUCUCUAAUCACUCAAUGUGAUUGGCUAUAUAUAACGAAUUUGUGCUGUUGAAGUUGGUUUCAAUUGCUAAAACAUGAUUUGCCUCCACAAUUGUUAUGCUCAAGAGGUUGAAGUUUAUAAAAUGUGGUCUUCAAGCAAUGGUGAUUAGUGACAAGUGGAAUUGUUAUACAGAGGAUGAUGUUGGGAAGACAAAAUUUGUAAAAGAAAAUAUUUUGGAUGAUGUGUGGUGGGACUACAUUGAUUAUAUUAUUUCCUUCACGGAUCUUAUAUAUGACAGGGUUAGGGCUUGUGAUACGGACAAGCCUUGUCUUCACUAGGUAUAUGAUAUGUGGGACACAAUGAUAGAGAAAGUGAAGAUGACAAUAUAUAGGCAUGAAGGGAAAAGAGUAGAAUAUAAAUCUACAUUUUACAAUGUGGUGCAUCAAAUUCUCAUGGAUCGUUGGAAUAAGAAUAAUACUCCUCUCUAUUGUAUCACACAUUCAUUGAAUCCAAAGUACUAUAGUGAUGAGUGGCUCCAUAAUGAUCAAAAUAGAGUUCCUUCACAUGGGGAUGAAGAGGUGACACGUGAGAGGAACAAGUGUUUUAAGAGGUAUUUUGAAGAUAUCACGUAGCAAACCAUGGUGAUAAUAGAGUUUGAAAAAUUUUCGGGUUAUGUUGAAGCAUUUUUCAAAUAUGAUUCCAUUCAUAGUAGGUGGCACAUGGAUUCUUAUACUUGGUGGUGUGCAUAUGGUGCAUAUGCACCAACUCUUCAAAAAGUAGCUUUGAGACUAUUUGUGCAACCUGCCUCUUCAUCUUGUUGUGAGACAAAUUGGAGUACUUACUCCUUUAUUCACUAUAUGCUCCCUCAAUGAGCGGAGGACUUGGUGUUCAUUCAUAGCAAUCUUCGUCCUUUAUCAAGGAGGAGCUCCCAAUACUUGCAAGGAGAGACAAAAAUGUGGGACAUUGCAAGAGAUAACUUUGACUCACUUGAUGAUAUUGAAAUGCUUGGGAUAGCUAACCUCUCACCUAAUGAACCGACUAUAGAGGUGGCCCUAUUUACAGAUGAAGGAGAAGAUGGAGGCGAUGGUGAAGAUGUUGUACUAGUUUCCUCUACUUAGGUUUACAUUUUCUGAUGUUUAUGGAUUUUGUAAUAGGUUGUUGGUACAUUGGAUAAUUUUACAUUUUGUGCUUUGGUUUUCAUGCAUUUUGUAACAAAUUAUGGUUGGUAGUUUGGAAUGACAUGUUAUGUAUUGAUGGAAUGCAA
Molecule: non-coding RNA, 2802 nt
Organism: Camellia sinensis
Lineage: Eukaryota; Viridiplantae; Streptophyta; Magnoliopsida; Ericales; Theaceae
Source: RefSeq, a predicted model, not a curated record